AUUCUGACCAACUCCUUCCCUUCCUGGAUUCACCUUCUCUGGAUAAACCCCAUCUUUAGGAUGCAAAUAUUGAACUUCCCCAUUAGGAAAAACCCUAUAAAAUUGAUACUUAAUCUUGUACUUAGAUCUCAGCCUUGUCCCCAAAGCCAAACACUGCUCUUUCCUAGCCAAUUUCAGCAGAUUCGGCCCUUCUCGCAUAAUCGCCGCGCCACCGGUCGGCAUCUCGAAUAUUUGCUCCUUGGGGGACUCCCAUGUUAUGACAUAGAAUUCCUCCACCUGGGCCUUCCGGAGCAGUCCCCCGGUACUGCCGGCGAAGAUUGGGGAAGGGGUGGUUGGGUCGAGCUCUGGUGGGGAGAAUCCGGCAGGAGCCUCGACCGGGGCCGCCUGGGCUUCGGCUUCGGCAGAGACCUUGAGUGAGCGGGAAGAGGAGGCGGGCUUGAGGGGCUUGGAGUUGAGGAAGGAGAGAGUUGGGGAUUGCUUCCAUGGGACGGUAAUGGCGGUGGAUUUGGGGCUGGAGAGAGAUGGGGUGAAGAGGGUUGCUUGAGCUGCCAUGGCCAUGGGAUUGAAGCAGAGGAAGAGGAUUGGAAAUGGU
This 592-nucleotide unclassified non-coding RNA is filed under the name Hevea brasiliensis (rubber tree). The record is from RNAcentral. Lineage: Eukaryota; Viridiplantae; Streptophyta; Magnoliopsida; Malpighiales; Euphorbiaceae.